GACGAACGCUGGCGGCGCGCCUAACACAUGCAAGUCGAACGGAGCUGAGAGAAGCUUGCUUUUCUUAGCUUAGUGGCGAACGGGUGAGUAACGCGUGAGUAACCUGCCCUGGAGUGGGGGACAACAGUUGGAAACGACUGCUAAUACCGCAUAAGCCCACGAUCCGGCAUCGGAUUGAGGGAAAAGGAUUUAUUCGCUUCAGGAUGGACUCGCGUCCAAUUAGCUAGUUGGUGAGGUAACGGCCCACCAAGGCGACGAUUGGUAGCCGGACUGAGAGGUUGAACGGCCACAUUGGGACUGAGACACGGCCCAGACUCCUACGGGAGGCAGCAGUGGGGGAUAUUGCACAAUGGGGGAAACCCUGAUGCAGCGACGCCGCGUGGAGGAAGAAGGUUUUCGGAUUGCAAACUCCUGUCGUUAGGGACGAUAAUGACGGUACCUAACAAGAAAGCACCGGCUAACUACGU
This 467-nucleotide ribosomal RNA is filed under the name uncultured bacterium. RNAcentral describes it as "partial 16S ribosomal RNA". It matches the Rfam family "Bacterial small subunit ribosomal RNA", at positions 28 to 506 of the family's 1533-position model. The record is from RNAcentral.